AUUGAACGCUGGCGGCAGGCCUAACACAUGCAAGUCGAACGGUAACAGGAAGCAGCUUGCUGCUUCGCUGACGAGUGGCGGACGGGUGAGUCAUGUCUGGGAAACUGCCUGAUGGAGGGGGAUAACUACUGGAAACGGUAGCUAAUACCGCAUAACGUCGCAAGCCCAAAGAGGGGGACCUUAGGGCCUCUUGCCAUCGGAUGUGCCCAGAUGGGAUUAGCUAGUAGGUGGGGUAACGGCUCACCUAGGCGACGAUCCCUAGCUGGUCUGAGAGGAUGACCAGCCACACUGGAACUGAGACACGGUCCAGACUCCUACGGGAGGCAGCAGUGGGGAAUAUUGCACAAUGGGCGCAAGCCUGAUGCAGCCAUGCCGCGUGUAUGAAGAAGGCCUUCGGGUUGUAAAGUACUUUCAGCGGGGAGGAAGGGAGUAAAGUUAAUACCUUUGCUCAUUGACGUUACCCGCAGAAGAAGCACCGGCUAACUCCGUG
This 490-nucleotide ribosomal RNA is filed under the name uncultured bacterium. Its description in RNAcentral is "partial 16S ribosomal RNA". It matches the Rfam family "Bacterial small subunit ribosomal RNA", at positions 30 to 507 of the family's 1533-position model. The record is from RNAcentral.